UCCAAACUGCACUCAGCCCAAAAGUCUUCAAUAGAAAAAAGGAUAAAAUGUAUAUUCAUACCAUGAAAUAGUAACUACAACAACUGAUACACAGAGCAAAAUGGAUAAAUCUCAAAAACAUUAUGCUGAAAGAAAGAAGCCUUACACAGAGGAGUACAUACUGUAUGAUCCCAUUGGUAUGAAGCAAAAGAUCAGGCAAAGUACCCCAUCUGGGAGGAGUUUCAAUCUCAGCUGAAUGCCCUGUCUGCCUUCACUCCUGCUCUGUGUGAAAGUAUUAUCCGUGGCUACAUUAUAGCAGGAGUUGGAACACUUUCCCAUGCCUUUCUCACACCUGAGUAUAACUGUGGCUUUGCAGGGACAGAGCCUACCUCUUCAAGACUGACUGCCCGCAGCACUCUGACAAUCAGCCACAAUGGAAGAGCUGCUGAAAGAUCACUGGACUGGGAGGCAGGCUGGGAGUCCAGUUUCUCCUUUGCCAUCAGCUUCUUGUGUGGAUUUGGGAGCUCAUUUACCUUUUCUGGGACUCAGUUUGCUUAUGCAUAACUUGAGGACCUGAUCAAGAUAAUUUUACUUCUAGCGCUAAACAAUCAAAAAGUCUAUCUU
Molecule: long non-coding RNA, 603 nt
Organism: Choloepus didactylus (southern two-toed sloth)
Lineage: Eukaryota; Metazoa; Chordata; Mammalia; Pilosa; Megalonychidae
Exons: 4
Source: RefSeq, a predicted model, not a curated record